This 457-nucleotide ribosomal RNA is filed under the name uncultured bacterium. RNAcentral describes it as "partial 16S ribosomal RNA". It matches the Rfam family "Bacterial small subunit ribosomal RNA", at positions 338 to 795 of the family's 1533-position model. The record is from RNAcentral.
CCUACGGGUGGCAGCAGUGGGGAAUAUUGCACAAUGGGGGAAACCCUGAUGCAGCGACGCCGCGUGAGUGAAGAAGUAUUUCGGUACGUAAAGCUCUAUCAGCAGGGAAGAAAAAAAGUCCUUUGGACUUUGGACGGUACCUGACUAAGAAGCCCCGGCUAACUACGUGCCAGCAGCCGCGGAAAUACGGAGGGGGCAAGCGUGAUCCGGAGUUACGGGGUGUAAAGGGAGCGUAGACGGCAGCGCAAGUCUGGGGUGAAAUGCCGGGGCCCAACCCCGGAACUGCUUUGGAAACUGUGCGGCUGGAGUGCAGGAGAGGUACGCGGAAUUCCUAGUGUAGCGGUGAAAUGCGUAGAUAUUAGGAGGAACACCAGUGGCGAAGGCGGCUUACUGGACUGUAACUGACGUUGAGGCUCGAAAGCGUGGGGAGCAAACAGGAUUAGAUACCCUUGUAGUC